This 478-nucleotide ribosomal RNA is filed under the name uncultured bacterium. RNAcentral's name for it is "partial 16S ribosomal RNA". It matches the Rfam family "Bacterial small subunit ribosomal RNA", at positions 29 to 507 of the family's 1533-position model. The record is from RNAcentral.
ACGAACGCUGGCGGCGUGCUUAACCCCUGCCAGUCGAACGAAGCUUGCUUACGGAUUCUUCGGAUGAAGUAUGAUAUGACUGAGUGGCGGACGGGUGAGUAACGCGUGAGUAACCUGCCCUUCAGAGGGGGAUAGCGUUUGGAAACGAACGGUAAUACCGCAUAAUGUAUUUUGACCGCAUGAUCGAAAUACCAAAGAUUUAUCGCUGAAGGAUGGACUCGCGUCUGAUUAGGUAGUUGGUGGGGUAACGGCCUACCAAGCCGACGAUCAGUAGCCGGACUGAGAGGUUGAUCGGCCACAUUGGGACUGAGACACGGCCCAGACUCCUACGGGAGGCAGCAGUGGGGAAUAUUGCACAAUGGGCGCAAGCCUGAUGCAGCAACGCCGCGUGAAGGAAGACGGUUUUCGGAUUGUAAACUUCUGUUCUUAGUGAAGAAUAAUGACGGUAGCUAAGGAGCAAGCCACGGCUAACUACGUG